GACGAACGCUGGCGGCGUGCUUAACACAUGCAAGUCGAACGGAAAGGCCCUGCUUUUGUGGGGUGCUCGAGUGGCGAACGGGUGAGUAACACGUGAGUAACCUGCCCUUGACUUUGGGAUAACUUCAGGAAACUGGGGCUGAUACCGGAUAGGAGCUCCUGCUGCAUGGUGGGGGUUGGAAAGUUUCGGCGGUUGGGGAUGGACUCGCGGCUUAUCAGCUUGUUGGUGGGGUAGUGGCUUACCAAGGCUUUGACGGGUAGCCGGCCUGGGAGGGUGACCGGCGACAUUGGGACUGAGAUACGGCCCAGACUCCUACGGGAGGCAGCAGUGGGGAAUAUUGCACAAUGGGCGGAAGCCUGAUGCAGCAACGCCGCGUGCGGGAUGACGGCCUUCGGGUUGUAAACCGCUGUCGCCUGUGACGAAGCGUGAGUGACGGUAAUGGGUAAAGAAGCACCGGCUAACUACGUG
This 468-nucleotide ribosomal RNA is filed under the name uncultured bacterium. Its description in RNAcentral is "partial 16S ribosomal RNA". It matches the Rfam family "Bacterial small subunit ribosomal RNA", at positions 28 to 507 of the family's 1533-position model. The record is from RNAcentral.